Rhincodon typus (whale shark) is the source of this 1618-nucleotide long non-coding RNA. RefSeq lists it as uncharacterized. The record is from RefSeq and is a predicted model, not a curated record. The transcript is spliced from 4 exons. NCBI's taxonomy places the organism in Eukaryota, Metazoa, Chordata, Chondrichthyes, Orectolobiformes, Rhincodontidae.
AAUCGGAGUGAAGGGGCGGGACCAGUGUAAACCACGUGAUCAUCCACGCGCGCAGUGCAGAGUCGCUGAGACCGAGAUUUGUGCAAUUGAGAUACCAGCGAUCGUUGCCAAAGCCCUGUUGCCUGUGGAAAAGGAUAUUACAAGUGGACUUUCAGGUGGGAAUCUCAAUAAUUGUAACACCAAACUCUGACAGAAUUACUCAGUUCAUCAGGACCUGGAUAUUCGCAUUGUGUAGCUUGGAAAUAGUCAUAUUGUCACCAUACAUCGACACAGUCACACUGACUAAAGACUGUCCACCUGCACAGUAUGUGAAAAGGGAUUUCCUGGUUCAUCAGGACUGGUUAACUACCAGCAAAUUUCUGAGUAAGUGUUAAUUGAGUUUUAAUUCUGCUGUUAGCUAUAUCCAAACCAUGUUUUUUCGGCUUGUUUCUGGAGAUCAUAGAAUCCCUCCAAUGUGAAAGCAGACCAUUUGGCCCAUCACGAAGAGUGUCCUACCCAGUCUCAGUAACACUGCAUUUAACAUGGCUAAUCCACAUAGUCUGCACAUACCCGGGCACUAUGGGCAAUUUAGCACAGCCAAUCCACCCUAACCUGCACAGCUUUAGACUGGCAGGAAACCAGAGCACCUGGAGGAAACCUGCACAGACACAGAGACUGUGCGAACUGCAUUUAGACAGCAGCCUGAGGCUAGAAUCAAAUGCAGAAAUAGAAACAGUAAACAUCCAUUCAGCCCUUUGACCUUGUUCCUCCUGUCAUCUACGUCAGUUCUACCUUCUCAAAUUAUCCCCAUUUCCCUCAUUGCUGAUGUACAAAAAUCUAACACUGCCUGAUUUGGAAACCCGCGAUGACCAAGAAUCUACAGCUCCCUGGAAUAGGGAAUUCCACAGAUUUACAGUGAUGUGAGUGAAGAAAUUGCUCCUCACCUCAAUCUGAAAUGGUCACACCCUUAUUCUGAGACAAUUACCCCAUGUCCGAGAUUUCCCAGCCAGAGGAAACAUUUACUCAGCAUUGUUCCUAUCAAGCAUCUUCCAAAAAAAAAAGAUAAUUCAAUGAGAUCACUUCUAUUUCUCUAUAUCCUACAGGUUGGUCAUCAGUUAGUUCAGUUGGCUGGACGGCUGAUUUAUGAUGUGGAGUGGUACCAACAGUGUGGGUUCAAUUCCUUCACCAGCUGAGGUGACCAUGAAGGACUGUCCUUCUUGACUUCUUCCCUUGCCUGACUCUCAGGUUAGCCACCACCAUUUGUCUGUCUCGAAUGAGAGACAGCCUGGUUGUCCAGUAGCACUAUGGUGACUUUGAUUUUAUCCCACAGAAUAUAAGCCCUGUUUACUCAAUUUCUUCUGCUCAGAAAUCCCCUCUUCCCAGGAGCCAGUCUGGAGAACCUUUGUUACACUCACUCUAGAUCAUUCAUAUUAGUUCAGUCAUCAGAAACUGCUCACAGUCCUCUAGGGCAGACCUCACUCCUGAAAACUGCUCACAGUCCUCUAGGGCAGACCUUACUCCUGAAAACUGCUCGCAGUCCUCCAGGGCAGAUCUCACCAGAGGAACCUGCUCACAGUACUCCAGGGGAGUUCACUCUCGUUCUUCAAAGCCCUUUGUAAUAAAAGCUUACCUACCGUUC